UACGGAGGAUGCGAGCGUUAUCCGGAUUUAUUGGGUUUAAAGGGUGCGUAGGCGGGCUGUUAAGUCAGCGGUAAAAGCCCGGGGCUCAACCCCGGCGAGCCGUUGAAACUGGCUGUCUUGAGAUGUCGAGAGGUAUGCGGAAUGCGGAGUGUAGCGGUGAAAUGCUUAGAUAUUGCGCAGAACUCCGAUUGCGAAGGCAGCAUACCGGCGGCGAUCUGACGCUGAGGCACGAAAGCGUGGGUAUCGAACAGG
This 252-nucleotide ribosomal RNA is filed under the name uncultured bacterium. RNAcentral's name for it is "partial 16S ribosomal RNA". It matches the Rfam family "Bacterial small subunit ribosomal RNA", at positions 524 to 776 of the family's 1533-position model. The record is from RNAcentral.